AGGGGUGUAGCUCAGUUGGUAGAGCAUUGGUCUCCAAAACCAAAUGUCGUCGGUUCAAAUCCGGCCACCCUUGCCA
RNAcentral lists this transfer RNA (76 nucleotides) under Sulfitobacter litoralis. RNAcentral's name for it is "tRNA-Trp". It matches the Rfam family "tRNA". From Rfam's summary of the family: Transfer RNA (tRNA) molecules are approximately 80 nucleotides in length. Their secondary structure includes four short double-helical elements and three loops (D, anti-codon, and T loops). Further hydrogen bonds mediate the characteristic L-shaped molecular structure. tRNAs have two regions of fundamental functional importance: the anti-codon, which is responsible for specific mRNA codon recognition, and the 3' end, to which the tRNAs corresponding amino acid is attached (by aminoacyl-tRNA synthetases). tRNAs cope with the degeneracy of the genetic code in two manners: having more than one tRNA (with a specific anti-codon) for a particular amino acid; and 'wobble' base-pairing, i.e. permitting non-standard base-pairing at the 3rd anti-codon position. RNAcentral also lists the same sequence under 1 other name. Lineage: Bacteria; Pseudomonadati; Pseudomonadota; Alphaproteobacteria; Rhodobacterales; Roseobacteraceae. The record is from RNAcentral.